RNAcentral lists this ribosomal RNA (255 nucleotides) under uncultured bacterium. RNAcentral's name for it is "partial 16S ribosomal RNA". It matches the Rfam family "Bacterial small subunit ribosomal RNA", at positions 524 to 776 of the family's 1533-position model. The record is from RNAcentral.
UACGUAGGCAGCAAGCGUUGUUCGGAAUUACUGGGCGUAAAGAGUGUGUAGGCGGUGCUCUAAGUCUGUUGUGAAAUCUCCCGGCUUAACCGGGAGGGUGCGGCGGAGACUGGAGUGCUAGAGUGUGGGAGAGGUAAGCGGAAUUCCUGGAUGUAGCGGUGAAAUGCGGUAGAUAUCAGGAGGAACACCUGUGGUGUAGACAGCUUACUGGACCACGACUGACGCUGAGACACGAAAGCGUGGGUAGCAAACAGG